RNAcentral lists this long non-coding RNA (1354 nucleotides) under Heterocephalus glaber (naked mole-rat). RNAcentral's name for it is "lncRNA (ENSHGLG00100040222.1)". Lineage: Eukaryota; Metazoa; Chordata; Mammalia; Rodentia; Bathyergidae. The record is from RNAcentral.
UCAUGUUUAAUGAGCUCCCUGAGCAAGUGUCUGGGUCCACCCCUGGAGCAGGCAGAGAGAGCACAGCAGGAGCAAAGGCCUGAGGUGGAACCCUGCAAAGCAGUCUCAGCUAAGAGGAAGAGGCAGGAGUCAAGACCGUGCCCAGGCCUGAAGAAAGACCAGGCUGGUCUUCAGACUUCAGGUUGGUAGAAGAAGAGUGGAUCUGCAGAGAUCAGUGCCCUGGGAAGAAGCCAAGGCCUGGUGGGAGAGGUCCCAUCUCAGCACAUUCUCUUCUGUGCAAUGCAGAGGAAAUAAUUAACCUUGGGCCACAACAGCUGCCAGAAGAACCCUUCAGGAAUUCAAGCCCUCCCUGAAUAACAUGUGGGCCACCACUCCCACUGUGCAGCCCGGUGGGAGAAGGGAGUUGCACUAGGCCUUCUCUUCUCGGGAGAUAUGCUGACAUGCGGUCACAUGCACACCAGCCCUCUCGGCUUCCUGGGACAGCAUCCUGGGCACUCAAGAGCAUGGGCUCCUGGCUUCCUUCUCCCUAGGAUAAUCCCUUCUUAUUGAGGCUCCUUAGCCCCUCACAGAUCCUGACUCAGCUCACAGUGGCAUGAGGAGAAACAAGGGGAAGGCCUCAGCUCCAAUGUCACUGCUUCAAAGAAGACUUCAUUGACCACCAUGACUAAAGUAGCCUCUCGGCCUCAUCACUUCAAACCUCAUCACCCCGAUUUGUUUUCUUCACAGCUCUUCUCUCCCUCUGAUAUAUUAACUCAUUUGUUGUCUGUCCCUACUUUGGCUAGAGCAUAAACUCCUGGACAGCACGGACCUUGCCACUGUGUCCCCAGCAUCCAGAGUGAGGCCAGGAACAUACAGAGUGCCCAUUCCCUGCCUGAUGUCCACUUUCAGUGGCCACGGAAUAUCUCAGGGCCUGCGUGAACGCCCUUCAACCCUCUCCCUCCCAUUGACGGGCUGUGUAGUCCACUUAGCCCUAUUAAACCAGCCACUGCUCAACAUAUCAGGCGCAGAUCUUUUCCUGCUUGAGCAACUAUUUAUUUGGCAUGAAGUUCUCAAAGAGGAAUGAUAGGGUGAGAGGGAGGUUUGCUCUUGACAACUUGAUACAUACUGACAACACUACGGUAAACCACUCCAGCCAAUUUCUACUCUUGAGAUUAUUUACUAACACAUUGUGUUCAUCACCACCAAUCUCAGAAGCGCACACAUACACACACAAAAAGCACAUCUCAGCUGGGCAUGGUGGGUGCACACCUGUGACCCCAGCACUCUGAGAGGCUGAGGCAGGAGAAUUGUUGAGAGUUUGAGGCCAGCCUGGGCUACAUAGUGAGUUCAAGACCAGCCUGAACUACAUAGUGAG